CGCGACCUCUGCUCUUAGUCUUAAUGACUCUCGGCAACGGAUAUCUCGGCUCUUGCAUCGAUGAAGAACGUAGCGAAAUGCGAUACUUGGUGUGAAUUGCAGAAUCCCGCGAACCAUCAAUUCUUUGAACGCAAGUUGCGCCCGACGCCAUCCGGCCGAGGGCACGCCUGCCUGGGUGU
This 179-nucleotide ribosomal RNA is filed under the name Pleroma velutinum. Its description in RNAcentral is "Tibouchina velutina 5.8S ribosomal RNA". The stretch from base 26 to 179 matches the Rfam family "5.8S ribosomal RNA". From Rfam's summary of the family: 5.8S ribosomal RNA (5.8S rRNA) is a component of the large subunit of the eukaryotic ribosome. It is transcribed by RNA polymerase I as part of the 45S precursor that also contains 18S and 28S rRNA. Functionally, it is thought that 5.8S rRNA may be involved in ribosome translocation. The record is from RNAcentral. Lineage: Eukaryota; Viridiplantae; Streptophyta; Magnoliopsida; Myrtales; Melastomataceae.